UCUGGCUUAUAGCCAAGCGGUCCCCUUAGAGUGCCCAACUGAAUGAUGGUAACUAAGGGCGAGGGUUGCGCUCGUUGCGGGACUUAACCCAACAUCUCACAACACGAGCUGACGACAGCCAUGCAGCACCUGUCUCCGCGUCCCCGAAGGGAACUCUCGCUUUCACGAGAUAGCGCGGGAUGUCAAGUCCAGGUAAGGUUCUUCGCGUAGCAUCGAAUUGAACCACAUGUUCCACCGCUUGUGCGGGCCCCCGUCAAUUCCUUUGAGUUUUAAUCUUGCGACCGUACUUCCCAGGCGGAUUACUUAAUGCGUUAGCUGCGACACCGCAAAGAUUAGGCUUCGCGACGUCUAGUAAUCAUCGUUUAGGGCGUGGACUAC
Molecule: unclassified non-coding RNA, 378 nt
Filed under: uncultured delta proteobacterium
Lineage: Bacteria; Deltaproteobacteria
Description: contains 16S-23S intergenic spacer region
Source: RNAcentral